GCACAGAGGAGCUUGCUCCUCGGGUGACGAGUGGCGGACGGGUGAGUAAUGUCUGGGAAACUGCCCGAUGGAGGGGGAUAACUACUGGAAACGGUAGCUAAUACCGCAUAACGUCGCAAGACCAAAGUGGGGGACCUUCGGGCCUCACACCAUCGGAUGUGCCCAGAUGGGAUUAGCUUGUAGGCGGGGUAACGGCCCACCUAGGCGACGAUCCCUAGCUGGUCUGAGAGGAUGACCAGCCACACUGGAACUGAGACACGGUCCAGACUCCUACGGGAGGCAGCAGUGGGGAAUAUUGCACAAUGGGCGCAAGCCUGAUGCAGCCAUGCCGCGUGUAUGAAGAAGGCCUUCGGGUUGUAAAGUACUUUCAGCGGGGAGGAAGGUGUUGAGGUUAAUAACCUCAGCAAUUGACGUUACCCGCAGAAGAAGCACCGGCUAACUCCGUGCCAGCAGCCGCGGUAAUACGGAGGGUGCAAGCGUUAAUCGGAAUUACUGGGCGUANAGCGCACGCAGGCGGUCUGUUAAGUCAGAUGUGAAAUCCCCGGGCUUAACCUGGGAACUGCAUUUGAAACUGGCAGGCUUGAGUCUCGUAGAGGGGGGUAGAAUUCC
Molecule: ribosomal RNA, 609 nt
Filed under: Pantoea stewartii
Lineage: Bacteria; Pseudomonadati; Pseudomonadota; Gammaproteobacteria; Enterobacterales; Erwiniaceae
Description: bacterial SSU rRNA
Rfam family: Bacterial small subunit ribosomal RNA
Source: RNAcentral